Molecule: ribosomal RNA, 455 nt
Filed under: Klebsiella huaxiensis
Lineage: Bacteria; Pseudomonadati; Pseudomonadota; Gammaproteobacteria; Enterobacterales; Enterobacteriaceae
Description: partial 16S ribosomal RNA
Rfam family: Bacterial small subunit ribosomal RNA
Source: RNAcentral
AAAUUGAAGAGUUUGAUCAUGGCUCAGAUUGAACGCUGGCGGCAGGCCUAACACAUGCAAGUCGAACGGUAGCACAGAGAGCUUGCUCUCGGGUGACGAGUGGCGGACGGGUGAGUAAUGUCUGGGAAACUGCCUGAUGGAGGGGGAUAACUACUGGAAACGGUAGCUAAUACCGCAUAACGUCGCAAGACCAAAGUGGGGGACCUUCGGGCCUCAUGCCAUCAGAUGUGCCCAGAUGGGAUUAGCUUGUUGGUGAGGUAACGGCUCACCAAGGCGACGAUCCCUAGCUGGUCUGAGAGGAUGACCAGCCACACUGGAACUGAGACACGGUCCAGACUCCUACGGGAGGCAGCAGUGGGGAAUAUUGCACAAUGGGCGCAAGCCUGAUGCAGCCAUGCCGCGUGUAUGAAGAAGGCCUUCGGGUUGUAAAGUACUUUCAGCGAGGAGGAAGGGGG